AGGGUGUAAACGCUGCGGGCUUGGUGUUGGGGGUCCUUUGAGGGCGCCCAGUGCCGGAGAGAAGUUGUUAAGCCUGCUGCUUGGGGAGUACGUCCGCAAGGAUGAAACUUAAAGGAAUUGGCGGGGGGAGCACCGCAACGGGAGGAGCGUGCGGUUCAAUUGGAUUCAACGCCGGACAACUCACCAGGAACGACGGUUACAUGAAGGCCAGGCUGAUGACCUUGCCUGAUUUUCCGAGAGGAGGUGCAUGGCGUCAGUGACU
Molecule: ribosomal RNA, 262 nt
Filed under: uncultured archaeon
Lineage: Archaea
Description: partial 16S ribosomal RNA
Rfam family: Archaeal small subunit ribosomal RNA
Source: RNAcentral